RNAcentral lists this small RNA (75 nucleotides) under Xanthomonas citri pv. citri. RNAcentral's name for it is "sX9". The record is from RNAcentral. Lineage: Bacteria; Pseudomonadati; Pseudomonadota; Gammaproteobacteria; Lysobacterales; Lysobacteraceae.
GUGUACCACUCGUCCAUUGCGCCUCUGAGUGCGCCGGCGUGCCCACCCGACGACUGCUCGCUACGUUCGGUUGCC